Lagenorhynchus albirostris (white-beaked dolphin) is the source of this 723-nucleotide long non-coding RNA. RefSeq lists it as uncharacterized. The record is from RefSeq and is a predicted model, not a curated record. The transcript is spliced from 2 exons. Lineage: Eukaryota; Metazoa; Chordata; Mammalia; Artiodactyla; Delphinidae.
GAAACCAUGACUUCACAGAUUCAGGAAGCACAGUGUAUCCAAAAAUGUACAUAAAAAACAUUUUAAAAUAUCUCUGUGUCUGGACGCAUUGUUGUGAAAACACUGAGCACUAAAGGAAAAGAGAAGGUCUUAAAAAUAUCCAGAGAGAAAGGACAAAGAAUGACAAGUCGAGUGUCAGUAGACUUCUCAAAAACGAAAAUACGAGCAGAAGAUAGUAAAACUCUUCAAAGUGCUGAAAGAAAAGUACUGUUAGUCUAGGCAGAACUAUCUUCAAGAACCAAGUAGAGAAUCGCAUGCAGAAAUAUGGUCGAGAAGGUUUUCUUCGCUUAACUUAUGUGCAACCCAAACAUCAAAGCGACUGACAUAACCAAGCUGGUGCAGAUGAUUUUCAACACUUGAUUUGGGUAUUUUGAGUAUGUCGGCUAUCUGCUGCGUGGUAUCACGUUGAUUGUUCUCAAUUAUUGUUUCGAUUUGAUCGCCAUCAACUUCAACUGGUCUACCCGAUCGUGGAGCAUCGUCCAGCAAGAAACCUCCAGCACGAAACUUCACAAAGCACUUGUGACAUGUUCGCUCAGUCACGGCACCUUCUCCAUACACUGCACAGAUCUUUUUUUUGCGUUUCAGUUGCAUUUUGACCUUCCUUGAAAUAAUAAAGCAUAAUGUGCUGAAAGUGUUGCUUUUUUUCUUCCAUCUUCAAUAUUAAAAUGGCUACAUGAAAAUUCA